GUGUAAGAGACUAUUCUUUUAUAUCAUUGACUCAAAGUUUGCUGAGGAACAAGUCCAGGCAAGUCCUGGGCAAAGGCAGAGGAAUCUUUUGUCUUGAGGACACUGAUGGACAGGUCCUGGCUAAGGAUUGUGAAAUCCUUUAAGGAGCACAGAUGGACAAGGCCAGGGGCAUCGAGAGAGAGAUAAGCUGCCGCUAAUGGCCGGGAAACGGUCUUUUUGUGUGGACUUAUCUCAAGGAAAAUGGCCAUCUCAGGAGGUAUGCACAGGACUCUUGCUCAAGCCCCCAGGAAUGUCACGUAGGCAGCAGAAAAUGGAGGAUAAAAGAGGGUCCAAUAACCACAACGGUGGAAGCUGAUCCUUCACCACAACCACGGCAACGGGGGAGGCUUAUCUCUCACCACGACAGACUUGAGGGGUUCUCUGCCAUCUGAUCCUUCACCGCAACAGUGGAGACUGAUCUCUACGUGUAGACGGAUCGCUACGUGGAGACUGAUCUCUCACCACGACACGAGCUUCCUGCCUUCCGAUCCUCCUCUACGGACCGUUUGCUGACGGACUUCCCUGGGCCUGCUACCUGAGACCUGCUGCUUCCUCCCUGGCCUGCAUCCUCUCGCUGCCCCAGACCGGCCUCACUGCUCCUGCCCUUCGGCCUCGGACCGUCGGAACGUCGUGCAACGGGACUGCUGCCGGAUCCUGGUGGAAAGCACUUGAAAGGAAGGAAUGGCAAGCCUGCCAUCUGCAAGAGCACAGGAUGAAAAGUGAAAAAGGCCCCAGGGCUUUUACCAUUUCCAUCUGAGAUGGAUGCUGGUGACUUAGCGGUAGAG
This is a long non-coding RNA of Gallus gallus (chicken), 824 nucleotides long. The record is from Ensembl. Lineage: Eukaryota; Metazoa; Chordata; Aves; Galliformes; Phasianidae.